Molecule: ribosomal RNA, 55 nt
Filed under: Ophiostoma piceae
Lineage: Eukaryota; Fungi; Ascomycota; Sordariomycetes; Ophiostomatales; Ophiostomataceae
Also listed under: 1 other name
Description: partial 28S ribosomal RNA
Source: RNAcentral
UUGACCUCGGAUCAGGUAGGAUUACCCGCUGAACUUAAGCAUAUCAAUAAGCGGA